UGUCCCUUUCGUACAAAUUAUAAUUUACCAACACUGGAUAAAACGAAAAGAAAGCAGUUGAAAAACGUAAAGACCACAAAUAUUCAUGUUUCCACGGAUCUCUCCUCAAGUAGCUGAAGAGAGGAACAUUUUUUGUACCCAGAUAUUAGCAAAUAAACAUUAGAUUUGUGAGAAUCCAAGAUGUCGUACGGAAUUAUGAAGAAAUUGCAUGAAGAUGUGGUGAUGCAGAUUCUCUUAGAGUUAUCGGUGAAAUCUCUCAUACGAUUCAAGAGCAUCUCUAAGAUUUUGUACACUCUAAUACAUUCCUCCAUUUUCAUCAAUCUUCAUCGCAACCGCAGAAGAAACACAAAAGAUGAAUUGCUUAUCUUAAAGCGUCCCAUCUUUCUAGAUGAAAACCUAUAUAAAAAUAUAAUGUAUUUUCUUUCUAGUAAUGAUAACGAUGAUACCCUAAAGCACGUUUCUCCAGAAAUAGAUGUACCAUAUUUUGAGAAUGAUUUUUGUGUUCAAUUUCAACAGCUCAUUGGUUCUUCUCAUGGUUUGAUUGCUUUGACAGAUUAUGAAGAAAUCAUAUUUCUAAAUCCUACUACUAGAAAAUAUAGACUUCUCCCACACAGCCUUUUUAGGUGUCCAAAAGAUUUCGUUUUUGUCCCCAGAGGUGUUGGUUUUGGAUAUGACUCAAUCGAAAAAGAUUACAAGGUAGUCAGGUUUUAUAAACUGUCUUCGGAACCUUAUGAUAGGGAUUUAGAAGCAAGACAUAGCAGAGUUGAGGUUUAUGAUUUUCGCACACAUACUUGGAGGUGAAUUAUUCCUACCGUAAAGUUAUUGCCCAGGGUGCAUCACUAUGUUGGUUCCGAAGCCUUUUUUAGUGGAGCAUGUCAUUGGACUGCACAGGAUGAUGAUGAAGAGCCCAUCGUUCUCUGCUUUCACUUAACCUACGAAUCUUUUCGCAACAUAAAAUUGCCUGAUACUUGUUAUUUUUGUGACAAUAAAGGUUAUGGCCUCACAGUUUGUCAAAAAUCUUUAACCUUAAUUUGUUACCCACAUCCAAAAUGCCAUCUUGAGCCAGGAAAAGAGUUCACAGAUAUUUGGUUCAUAAAGGAGUAUGGUGAAGAUGAAACAUGGAUUAAGAAAUACACAAUUAGACCUCUUCCCAUUGAAUCUUCAUUCGCAAUUUGAAAGGAUCAUAUAUUACUUUUUCAAACCGGAACUGGAACUUUGAGUUCCUAUGAUAUUCAUUCCGAUCAAAUCAACGAAUUCGGUUACCAAGCUAAUAAUGGUACUUUGAGACUUGUAAUAUACAAUGAAGCUCUCACUAUAAUUCCAAGAGAAAGCAACGAAGCUACUCAAGUUCUAAAUUAUUGACUCUUAAAACUCCUUCUUUGUGACCAUUCUACACUUCAAAAUUUUUAGAUAUUUGGAUGUAAUAUUUGAAU
This is an RNA transcript of Solanum lycopersicum (tomato), 1433 nucleotides long. It is a transcript of the gene named S-locus F-box protein type-2, with no coding region annotated. NCBI's taxonomy places the organism in Eukaryota, Viridiplantae, Streptophyta, Magnoliopsida, Solanales, Solanaceae. The record is from RefSeq and is a predicted model, not a curated record.